Molecule: long non-coding RNA, 764 nt
Organism: Myxocyprinus asiaticus (Chinese sucker)
Lineage: Eukaryota; Metazoa; Chordata; Actinopteri; Cypriniformes; Catostomidae
Exons: 5
Source: RefSeq, a predicted model, not a curated record
CAGACAGCGACUCUGAGAACCUCUUGCGAUGCUUGUAUUGUAGUAAAGAAAACAAGUUUCAGACUUAAGAGUCAAGAGGCAUAGUUCAUGUGUUGCCAUGGAUACAGAAGAUAAAUCAAAAGAAACACAUGAACACAUGUCCAAGACAAUGUGGUGGGGCACCUGGGGUCCAUUCGCCCCUUUCCACAUUUCCGUCCUGAGUGAGACAUGUCACACCUUCAAGCAGCUCUGGACCAGAAAGAUUUGAACACCCUUGUGGGAAUACUUACAAUCUCUGGCCCGAGUCUACAAGACUUCCACAUAAAAGGAACUGGAUGCAAGUCUAAAGAACGUUCUGUCUGGUGAUCUGCAGUCUCUGAUGUUAGGUCUGAUGAUGACACCAGAGCAGUUUGAAGCCCAUCGUUUGCACAAGGCCAUGGAGUUUUGCCAUUUAUUCUCUAGUAAAGUGCUAGUGUAUGAGCAUGCAACUACAUGUUGUGUGAAUAUUGCCAUACAUUUAACUAUAGAUUGAUAUCCUUUCUGUCAAUGUUGAUGUAUUUACUUUUUGUGUUUGUGUGUAUUCAGGGUGCUGGUACAAAUGAGGACACACUUUUGGAGAUUUUGUGUACAAGAACACCACAGCAGCUCUCUGACAUCAAGGCUGCAUACAAUCUAGCUACUCUAAUAAUUGAUAGGGCUGUCAAUAGAUUAAAUUUUUUUAUCUAAUUAAUAACAUUAUUGUCGUGUUCACUUAAAUACACUGCUAAUUGAGAAAUUCCCACUAG